RNAcentral lists this ribosomal RNA (253 nucleotides) under uncultured bacterium. Its description in RNAcentral is "partial 16S ribosomal RNA". It matches the Rfam family "Bacterial small subunit ribosomal RNA", at positions 524 to 776 of the family's 1533-position model. The record is from RNAcentral.
UACGGAGGGCGCAAGCGUUGUUCGGAAUCAUUGGGCGUAAAGCGCGUGUAGGCGGCUUGGUAAGGCGGAUGUGAAAUCCCGGGGCCCAACCCCGGAACUGCAUUCGAUACUGCCUCGCUAGAGUCCCGGAGAGGAGAGCGGAAUUCCCGGUGUAGAGGUGAAAUUCGUAGAUAUCGGGAGGAACACCAGCGGCGAAGGCGGCUCUCUGGACGGUGACUGACGCUGAGACGCGAAAGCGUGGGGAGCAAACAGG